This 890-nucleotide ribosomal RNA is filed under the name Clostridioides difficile. Its description in RNAcentral is "bacterial LSU rRNA". It matches the Rfam family "Bacterial large subunit ribosomal RNA", at positions 516 to 1415 of the family's 2925-position model. The record is from RNAcentral. Lineage: Bacteria; Bacillati; Bacillota; Clostridia; Peptostreptococcales; Peptostreptococcaceae.
GAAAAGAACCCCGGGAGGGGAGUGAAAUAGAACCUGAAACCCUGCACUUACAAGCUGUGGAAGCACAUUUCUUGUGUGACCGCGUACUUUUUGUAGAACGGGCCAACGAGUUACGUUAAGUAGCAAGGUUAAGCACUUAAGGUGUGGAGCCGUAGCGAAAGCGAGUUUUAACUGAGCGUUCAGUUACUUGACGUAGACCCGAAACCGGGCGACCUACCCAUGAGCAGGAUGAAGCGAAAGUAAAAUUUCGUGGAGGUCCGAACCCACGAGCGUUGAAAAGCUCGGGGAUGACUUGUGGGUAGCGGUGAAAUUCCAAUCGAGCCCGGAGAUAGCUGGUUCUCCCCGAAAUAGCUUUAGGGCUAGCCUCAAGGUGAGAGAUACGGAGGUAGAGCACUGAAUGUCCUAGGGGGUAUUGCACCUACCGAAGACUAUCAAACUCCGAAUGCCGUCAUCUUAUACUUGGGAGUCAGACUGUGGGUGAUAAGAUUCAUAGUCGAAAGGGCAACAGCCCAGAUCGUCAGCUAAGGUCCCUAAAUGUAAGUUAAGUGGUAAAGGAUGUGGGAUUGCACAGACAACCAGGAUGUUGGCUUAGAAGCAGCCACUCAUUCAAAGAGUGCGUAAUAGCUCACUGGUCGAGUGAUCCUGCGCCGAAGAUUUCCGGGGCUAAAACUUACUACCGAAGCUACGGCAUCAGUAAUGAUGGGUAGGGGAGCUUCCCAUACGGGUUGAAGCAUGACCGUAAGGACAUGUGGACAGUAUGGGAGUGAGAAUGUUGGCAUGAGUAGCGAGAUGUGGGUGAGAAUCCCACAGGCCGUAAACCCAAGGUUUCCAGGGGAAGGUUCGUCCGCCCUGGGUUAGUCGGGACCUAAGCUGAGGCCGAAAGGCGUAGG